RNAcentral lists this small nucleolar RNA (174 nucleotides) under Solanum tuberosum (potato). Its description in RNAcentral is "snoRNA Plant_U3". The record is from RNAcentral. Lineage: Eukaryota; Viridiplantae; Streptophyta; Magnoliopsida; Solanales; Solanaceae.
AAGACCUUACUUGAACAGGAUGUGUUCUAUAGGCUCGUACCACAGUAUCCUUGAGUUCUAUAGAGACAGUAAACCAAGUUUGGUAGAUGAACGCUGGGAUCUGAUCCUCAGAAGAAAUCUCCCAGAAUACUUGAAUUGUUUAAGGUUCUGGAGAAUUUUCAAGGUAUACAAACA